UACGAAGGGGGCUAGCGUUGCUCGGAAUCACUGGGCGUAAAGGGUGCGUAGGCGGGUCUUUAAGUCAGAGGGGAAAUCCUGGAGCUCAACUCCAGAACUGCCUUUGGUACUGAGGAUCUUGAGUUCGGGAGAGGUGAGUGGAACUGCGAGUGUAGAGGUGAAAUUCGUAGAUAUUCGCAAGAACACCAGUGGCGAAGGCGGCUCACUGGCCCGAUACUGACGCUGAGGCACGAAAGCGUGGGGAGCAAACAGG
RNAcentral lists this ribosomal RNA (253 nucleotides) under uncultured bacterium. Its description in RNAcentral is "partial 16S ribosomal RNA". It matches the Rfam family "Bacterial small subunit ribosomal RNA", at positions 524 to 776 of the family's 1533-position model. The record is from RNAcentral.